UGGGAACGUGCCCUUCAGUUCGGAACAACCCAGGGAAACUUGGGCUAAUACCGGAUACGUCCGUAAGGAGAAAGAUUUAUCGCUGAAGGAUCGGCCCGCGUCUGAUUAGCUAGUUGGUGAGGUAAUGGCUCACCAAGGCUACGAUCAGUAGCUGGUCUGAGAGGAUGAUCAGCCACAUUGGGACUGAGACACGGCCCAAACUCCUACGGGAGGCAG
This 216-nucleotide ribosomal RNA is filed under the name uncultured bacterium. Its description in RNAcentral is "partial 16S ribosomal RNA". It matches the Rfam family "Bacterial small subunit ribosomal RNA", at positions 118 to 351 of the family's 1533-position model. The record is from RNAcentral.